AUUGAACGCUGGCGGCAUGCCUUACACAUGCAAGUCGAACGGUAACAGGUCUUCGGAUGCUGACGAGUGGCGAACGGGUGAGUAAUACAUCGGAACGUGCCCGAUCGUGGGGGAUAACGGAGCGGAAGCUUUGCUAAUACCGCAUACGAUCUACGGAUGAAAGCAGGGGACCGCAAGGCCUUGCGCGGACGGAGCGGCCGAUGGCAGAUUAGGUAGGUGGUGGGAUAAAAGCUUACCAAGCCGACGAUCUGUAGCGGGUCUGAGAGGACGACCAGCCACACGGGGACUGAGACACGGCCCAGACUCCUACGGGAGGCAGCAGUGGGGAAUUUUGGACAAUGGGCGAAAGCCUGAUCCAGCCAUGCCGCGUGCAGGAUGAAGGCCUUCGGGUUGUAAACUGCUUUUGUACGGAACGAAAAGACUCUUUCUAAUAAAGAGGGUCCAUGACGGUACCGUAAGAAUAAGCACCGGCUAACUACGUG
RNAcentral lists this ribosomal RNA (482 nucleotides) under uncultured bacterium. Its description in RNAcentral is "partial 16S ribosomal RNA". It matches the Rfam family "Bacterial small subunit ribosomal RNA", at positions 30 to 507 of the family's 1533-position model. The record is from RNAcentral.